UGGGGAAUAUUGCACAAUGGGCGCAAGCCUGAUGCAGCCAUGCCGCGUGUAUGAAGAAGGCCUUCGGGUUGUAAAGUACUUUCAGCGGGGAGGAAGGGAGUAAAGUUAAUACCUUUGCUCAUUGACGUUACCCGCAGAAGAAGCACCGGCUAACUCCGUGCCAGCAGCCGCGGUAAUACGGAGGGUGCAAGCGUUAAUCGGAAUUACUGGGCGUAAAGCGCACGCAGGCGGUUUGUUAAGUCAGAUGUGAAAUCCCCGGGCUCAACCUGGGAACUGCAUCUGAUACUGGCAAGCUUGAGUCUCGUAGAGGGGGGUAGAAUUCAAGGUGUAGCGGUGAAAUGCGUAGAGAUCUGGAGGAAUACCGGUGGCGAAGGCGGCCCCCUGGACGAAGACUGACGCUCAGGUGCGAAAGCGUGGGGAGCAAACAGG
RNAcentral lists this ribosomal RNA (429 nucleotides) under Chloroflexota bacterium. RNAcentral's name for it is "Chloroflexi bacterium partial 16S ribosomal RNA". It matches the Rfam family "Bacterial small subunit ribosomal RNA", at positions 355 to 776 of the family's 1533-position model. Lineage: Bacteria; Bacillati; Chloroflexota. The record is from RNAcentral.